GAUGAAGAACGCAGCGAAAUGCGAUAAGUAAUGUGAAUUGCAGAAUUCAGUGAAUCAUCGAAUCUUUUAACGCACAUUGCGCCCCUUGGUAUUCCGAGGGGCAUGCCUGUUCGAGCGUCAUUUCAACCCUCAAGCACAGCUUGGUCUUGGGCUUCGCCGCUAACCCGGCGGGUCUUAAAAUCAGUGGCGGUGCCGUCGGGCCCUGAGCGCAGUAAUCUCUCUCGCUAUAGGGUCCCGGCGGAUGCUGGCCAGUAACCCCCAAUUUUCUAUGGUUGACCUCGGAUCAGGUAGGGAUACCCGCUGAACUUAAGCAUAUCAAUAAGCGGAGGA
This 330-nucleotide unclassified non-coding RNA is filed under the name soil metagenome. RNAcentral describes it as "partial contains 5.8S ribosomal RNA, internal transcribed spacer 2, and large subunit ribosomal RNA". The stretch from base 1 to 120 matches the Rfam family "5.8S ribosomal RNA", at positions 35 to 154 of the family's 154-position model. The record is from RNAcentral.